Molecule: ribosomal RNA, 442 nt
Filed under: uncultured Bacteroides sp.
Lineage: Bacteria; Pseudomonadati; Bacteroidota; Bacteroidia; Bacteroidales; Bacteroidaceae
Description: bacterial SSU rRNA
Rfam family: Bacterial small subunit ribosomal RNA
Source: RNAcentral
UGAGGAAUAUUGGUCAAUGGGCGCAAGCCUGAACCAGCCAAGUAGCGUGAAGGAUGACUGCCCUAUGGGUUGUAAACUUCUUUUAUGCGGGAAUAACCUCGACCAUGUAUGGUCGUUUGCAUGUACCGCAAGAAAAAGCAUCGGCUAAUUCCGUGCCAGCAGCCGCGGUAAUACGGAAGAUGCGAGCGUUAUCCGGAUUUAUUGGGUUUAAAGGGAGCGUAGGCGGACUAUCAAGUCAGUUGUGAAAGUCAUCGGCUCAACCGCUGAAUUGCAGUUGAAACUGGUAGUCUUGAGUGCACAUGAGGAUGGUGGAAUUCGUAGUGUAGCGGUGAAAUGCUUAGAUAUGACGAAGAACUCCGAUUGCGAAGGCAGCUGACGGGAGCGUUACUGACGCUUAAGCUCGAAAGUGCGGGUAUCGAACAGGAUUAGAUACCCUGGUAGU